GGAAAGAUAUGUUUUGGAGAUUGCUCUGCUUGGAGUCUUCUCAGUGAGCCUAAAACAAGGGUAUGGCCUUUUCUCCUUAAAACCCUGCAAGUCAUGUGAUUUUCAUGGAUACAAAUAAAAGUGUGACGCUUCAGUGCAGUGUGAUGUGAUCACCCCUGGAGGAUCACUGUAUUGUCUUCAAACCUUUGUGAUUGUGUUCCAGUAUUUAGGU
This is a long non-coding RNA of Tympanuchus pallidicinctus (lesser prairie-chicken), 211 nucleotides long. RefSeq lists it as uncharacterized. The transcript has 3 exons. The record is from RefSeq and is a predicted model, not a curated record. Lineage: Eukaryota; Metazoa; Chordata; Aves; Galliformes; Phasianidae.